This 30-nucleotide non-coding RNA is filed under the name Mus musculus (house mouse). Lineage: Eukaryota; Metazoa; Chordata; Mammalia; Rodentia; Muridae. The record is from RNAcentral.
UUCUGCCUGCAGGAAGUUACUUCCAACCGU